This is a long non-coding RNA of Cercocebus atys (sooty mangabey), 429 nucleotides long. RefSeq lists it as uncharacterized. The transcript is spliced from 3 exons. Lineage: Eukaryota; Metazoa; Chordata; Mammalia; Primates; Cercopithecidae. The record is from RefSeq and is a predicted model, not a curated record.
GCACAGCAGAGAGUAAAUAUUCCCAGACCUGAGAGCAAGAGGGAUCACCUCAUUAGCUCUGACCUCUUCUCGCCUCCCUGCCUCCCAGUUCGCCCUGUGGCUUUGAAAGAUGAAUACCCGAUAUUUGGAAAUGAAGGGAAUAAAACUGCUCUUGGAAACCAUGAAAUGAACACACAAUGCAUCAGAGCCAAACUUGCAAUCACUCAAGAAAGAAUGAUUCUCAAGGCAUCGAGCCCCCCGGAAGUUAAUUGAAAGGCUGUCUACAGAAAAGAUGGUCAGUCCUUAGGGAGACGUAGGUCAGUAAUGACCACACAGAAAAGGAGAGUCCUCGAGAAAACCCAGAGCCCUGACCUGGAGGAAGAGGACAUUGGUCCUAAAGCAAGCAGCCAUGUGACUGUAACCUGGCUUCCCAAGUACUUGGUCCUCAAG